GGGCCCGCACAAGCGGUGGAGUAUGUGGUUUAAUUCGAUGCAACGCGAAGAACCUUACCAGGGUUUGACAUCCUGCGAAUCUCUUGGAAACAGGAGAGUGCCUUCGGGAACGCAGUGACAGGUGGUGCAUGGCUGUCGUCAGCUCGUGUCGUGAGAUGUUGGGUUAAGUCCCGCAACGAGCGCAACCCACGUCUUUAGUUGCCAGCAUUUAGUUGGGCACUCUAGAGAGACUGCCGGUGAUAAACCGGAGGAAGGUGUGGAUGACGUCAAGUCAUCAUGCCCCUUACAUCCUGGGCUACACACGUACUACAAUGCUACGGACAAAGAGUCGCGAGCUCGUGAGAGUCAGCU
Molecule: ribosomal RNA, 351 nt
Filed under: uncultured bacterium
Lineage: Bacteria
Description: bacterial SSU rRNA
Rfam family: Bacterial small subunit ribosomal RNA
Source: RNAcentral